RNAcentral lists this long non-coding RNA (323 nucleotides) under Ananas comosus (pineapple). RNAcentral's name for it is "long non-coding RNA (ACOM_LNC016449)". Lineage: Eukaryota; Viridiplantae; Streptophyta; Magnoliopsida; Poales; Bromeliaceae. The record is from RNAcentral.
GGGUACGCUACCAUGACGUACGAUUUCAAAGGAAAAUCUACUCUACAAACUGUUCUUAGAAAAGACAGUAAAUGCGAAAAAAGUAAAAAAUUUACAAAUAGACUAUUCUUAGAAAAACGAUAAAUGUAAAAAGUGGAAAGUAAAAAAUGCAAUGGUCUUCUCAUUUAUGGAAGAGAAAGAUUCCUUUUGCAAGCUUCAGAAUUACUAUUUAUAAUAAUGUCUUCUUAGCCCACAUUAUUGAUUGGAUUUAAUAGUGAGGAAAUGCUAUAGCCAUAAUUGCGUAAGUUACGCCCCACUUCUCAACCGUUCCGCCUAAUUUUUUU